UACGUAGGGUGCGAGCGUUAAUCGGAAUUACUGGGCGUAAAGCGCGCGCAGGCGGUUUUGUAAGGCCGAUGUGAAAUCCCCGGGCUUAACCUGGGAAUGGCAUUUGGGACUGCAAGGCUCGAGUGCGGCAGAGGAGACUGGAAUUCCUGGUGUAGCAGUGAAAUGCGUAGAUAUCAGGAGGAACACCGAUGGCGAAGGCAGGUCUCUGGGCUGACACUGACGCUCAUGCACGAAAGCGUGGGGAGCAAACAGG
Molecule: ribosomal RNA, 253 nt
Filed under: uncultured bacterium
Lineage: Bacteria
Description: partial 16S ribosomal RNA
Rfam family: Bacterial small subunit ribosomal RNA
Source: RNAcentral